This 626-nucleotide long non-coding RNA is filed under the name Vigna radiata. Its description in RNAcentral is "long non-coding RNA (VRAD_LNC010798)". The record is from RNAcentral. Lineage: Eukaryota; Viridiplantae; Streptophyta; Magnoliopsida; Fabales; Fabaceae.
UUCCUGUGACUGCAUCCAGUUCUUUAUGAUUAUGAAUCUGGAUUUCAGACACAUUCAUUGCUGGAAAGAAUCAGGUUUGGACAAAAAGCAGACUACUUAAUUGAACCAAGCAUUUAGAUAAUGGAGAUUCGAGAAGAAACGCGUGCAAGAACCCAACUUAUAGUUCAACGUUUACAAGAGGCGCCACUACCAUGAUUCACUCACUAUUAAGACGCCCUUAGCUGAAGAAGCAUCAGCGGUUAAUGCACUCAAUCUCACCAUCAUUAAUCUCUCACUUUAAUUUUGUUACACACAAAAAUGAAAUUAGUUAACCUCUGAGUAUUUGAUUCAAACAGGUACCCUACAAAGGACACUCAUUUUCUUAAGGACAACGUCAAAAUUUGUACCUCCACCAGAAAAGAAGGAUUACCAAAGCCCGUUUCAAAUCUCCUGUUUCUUUAUAUGUUUGUUUAUGUAAUUUUAUAUUUUAAAAGGACGUGAGCUUGCUUAUUGUACAAUGGACAGACCAACUUUGCCCUCCUUUGAAGGCUUAAUUCUCCUUUUACAAGUCAGAAAACAAUGUAUUGGAUGCCCAAACCUGAUUAGUUCUGCUUUGCUUUGGCCAAAGGAAUAAAGUAAUAUGGCUA